UAACACUGAGACAGGAUCCGAUGUCAGAGCAGGUCUCCAGGUAGCGGGAGGUGAGCACACACAACCUUGCUGAAUUCCCAGAAGCUUCUGAGUUUGUCUCAGUGACCCUGUCACUGUGCCCAGGGAAAUGGAAAUAGAAUGCUGCCUAUAGAAAAUGCCCUCAUUUUACAGAACAGUGUCAGUGCCAGUGAGACACCCUGAUCCAGGAACAAAUGACUCUCUAUCCAGGCACAUGUGAGAUGGCUGUGCAACAGAAAAAAGGACAAGGGCUGCUGUUGCAAUGAUUUCUACUGGUAUCCAUCAGCAGUUAAUGCAGACUCACAGUUUCUGUAAUAAUCUGAGGCUUUCAAGAAUUUCCUUAUUAGGCAAAAAUCCCUUCUUUGGCUUAAAUUUGGCAGUUAAAAUAGGAAUUCAUGAGAAAUACCACUGUACUUCACUUUUCUCACCCAGAGAAAUAUAGUGAUUUUCUAUUUUUGUUUUGGGGAUUCUUUCUGGCUACUGUAAACAUAACAGCAAUUCAAAUCAUACUGACAUUUUCUUAUGUUUUGCCAUCUCUGAGAGCAUUUUUAUGGAGUUAGAGAGCUUGUUAAUCUAUGUGUCAUACAAAAAAAGAGAUCAAUCAUUAUAUGUAGUCUAGUUUCUGUUUGCAUUUCCUGCUGACUUAUCUCCUCUUGAGCCUGGGCUUGCAACAGCUGCUGUAAUAGGCUUGUUACCCAUAACCUACAUCUACACUUGCCUGACAAACCGGAAUGAAAGCAGUGGGUUGUAUAUAUCUUCCUGGAUAACAGUGGACUUCAUUCUUUGUUGCCUCCUUAGUUGCAUGGAACAAGUACAAUGACAUCAUGUGACAAGCAGGCCCCAGUCCUUUGGCUAUUUGUGAUCUAAGAUUCAUUCAGAUCUCAGAGCUCAGUGGUAUGAUCUUUUCUUAAAAGCUUCAUAAUAAUGACCAGAAGCUACACUAAAGACGUUGAAAAGCAUUUUGAAGCUGACUUGAAUUGAUGAAGGCCAGUGAGUUAUGAAGAAACCAUUCUUCUAUUGGAGAAUACUCACAAUGCUUGCUGAAAAUACGAUAAUUUUUAGCAGCACUGUUUGCUAUAUGUUUAGUUUAUGCACUAUUUUGUUAGAAACUAGUGACCUCACCUCUCAGAUGCAGUUAGUAGAAACUUCCUAUAGCAUGUUAUUUAAACAAUAAAUCAGCAGUGCUCUAUAUAUUUAUUAUUCAUUCUGCUCCUAGUUAGUCUUAUUUCCCUUGAUGCAAUAAUAGACCGUAAGUUGUACAACUCUGAGAAAUUCUUUUUGAUGGAAAAAAAAAUUCACAGCAUUUGUGAAUGGGGCAGUAGCUUUGGAUUGGUGGAUUCAGACUCCAUUAAUGAUAAUCUCUUGGGGCACAGUUACCUUCAGUUGUCCAUACAGCAGUUUCGGCAGAGGAACGUGCUUUUGUGUUUGCAAUGCUGGAAGCCAUUUACACCGUCUGUAGUCCAUCUAAUAUAUGUAUACAUGUCUCUGUUUUCCAGACCUCCGAAGUAGCUGAGCAGCUGCUCGACCUGGAGGACAGCAGCUGGCAGUGAGAGGCAGGCAGAGAGGUGACCUAGAAGAGUAUUUGGUGAGAAGAGGAGAAGCACAACCCAUGGCACAGCCCAGCAGCAGUUUGAAUGCACCAGCACUGAGUGAGCAGAAAUGACGCUGCAUCUGUCUGCAGGGUUUGCUCACCUCGAGCUAGGAUGACUUAGCAGAACAGCCCUGCAUCCCUGCAGCACCUCAGCUCCAGCCACCAACAUCCUUGCUGACUGCCUGAAAGAGCCUUGAUUUGUCCCAUGGUCAAACCCCAAGCCUGUGCUGAGCUGUUACAGAAAUGGGCACCACUUGGGGCUCAGUCCUGAUCCCUCUGCAAUCUAAGCAUUCACACUCCUUGGGAACAGCAGGAGCAAGAUCUUUCCCUGACAAAUUUCCCAGAUCUCACUGAGAAAGUGGGCAAAGGAAAAAAUAACACAUUUUUUAAAGACUUGUAGUGCACCAAAUGUGAUAUUUUUUUGACAGAAAGCUGUCUGUUCAGUACUGCUUGCCCUCCAUGCCACUCUUCCAGAGAGCAGCAAUUAAUUAUUCAUUCUUUUCUCCCUUUAAAGAAACAGUAGGCAAGAUGCUGAGCUUAUCAAAGUCAGCGGCAGCUCAGGGUUCUCAUGGGAGAAGCAGUGCUUGCUGCGGAUCACGCCUAACAGAGCACGCCUGAGCGUGUUAGCACAGCACCAGCUCAGGGCUGAAGUUCAUGCGAGGAGACUGGUUGAGGUCAUCAGCUGAGGAGCCACGAGUGUAACGGCGGGGCUGGAGCACACGGCUAAGCGGCAGGGCUGGCUGCUGGCUUUUACAAAUGCACUGAUUUUUCUCAUUUUGCUUCCAGAGUUUUCCUGCAAAGCUAGCACGAACACUACAGAAACUAGGCAGUCACUAAAUAUGUCCGAUCUUCCAUGUUGCCAACACAGCAACAACGGAAACUGGGGGGAAUCGGUGUUUUUAGGAGGCUCCUGGCUUUUCCUUUUCUUCCUAAGUGUGUAGAAAGAAAACAAAGGUAGGCAUAGCCUCCACCUUUCUAGAAUGAGCAUGGAGACCAUUAGCAAGGCUCUCAAGCCUGACAGCUGGCACUUGGUCACAGACAUAAGUGUGGUGGCAUGGUUGAACUUCACAAAUUUUGCUAACGCAAUGGUGCUGUGGAUAUUGUGAACCACGUGUUUUUACCAGGACGCACAAUUGUACAUCUCACUCCCUUUGAAAAUCAUCCUUUCAAACAUACAAUAGAAAAGCAAUCUGUUUUGUUUGAGGUCUCUUAUUCCUCCACCCAUGCAAAGCUCAAUCUCGCCCUAUGGACACUGCAGUCACUGUUAUUAUGGCAGUGCAGAGGCUCUGGAUAGAAUCAGUCCUUGGCACCUUGAGGGAUAAACAAACACAGAACUGAAGUGGUCUCAGCUCCAGAGGACUCACUUUCUAUUGUUUUACUCCACAGCAAUGAGAAGUGAUUAAAUUACAAACUUCAUUCUAGAAAAAUGGCAGUAAAAUCUUCACGCUAUGCCAUAACAUCAAAAAUUCUCAGCCAAACACUGCUGGAGAAACUAUUUAGAAGUACUUCUGAAUCCUGGAAUAUAUUUACUGGAAAUAGUUCACUCUUCUUCCUGUAAAAGCCAGAUGCAUUAAUUAACAUGAACUCUAUUUGCCCAAGCUGAGCCUCUGGGCACAGUAAUGAAGCAGAGAAAAUUUGGUUUGAGAGGCAAAGAAAACACUCUCUACUUACUCAAUUUAAAAGAAAAGGAAAUCCAGCUGCUCAGAUGUCUGUGGACCUUGAUGUGUGGGCACUGGUGAUCCAGUUUAAUGUUCACAUCACUACUCACUGCAUGCCACAGUCCACAGCCACCCCUUAAUUGGCCGUAGAGGGUUAUUUCAGCUGCACAUUGUGCCAUGGACUCAGCCUGUAUGUGCCAUGGACUCAGCUCAGAGGUUACUCACACAAAGUUUAUUGGCUCAGGUGCUGCACAAACAAAGUUAAGCAGUGUCAGAUCAGAUCUAGAAGCAGUUUAUCCAUUUUUAUGUUAUCUGGAACAUAAUAAUAUAAAAUAAACUCUACUGACCCAAGCUAGUGUUGUUCACUGGACCCCGGGAAGAUUCAGAAGUAUGGCACAGGCACCUUUACUCAUGGAGCCCCGUUAAACCCAGCAAGCUUUCGCUCAGGAAGGUCUGUCCUGAUCCAAGCUGGUUCUAGGGAGUUGCACUCAAAUAUCCAUGCACAAUACUUAAUUCAUGAAAAAUAUUGAGCAAUGGUGAAACAAAGCAGAGAAACCUGAGUGGCUCUUGAUGGAGAGAGCCUCAGGACUCAGCCAAAGCAGAGGAACUGUCAUGGAUCCACAGCAACUAUGCAGAAGCAGUCAAGUAUCUCAAUGCUUCAGAAGCUUCAAAGGAUCCUGUGGCAUUUGUCCACCUGUGCGACAGCAUCUUCAAGUUAACUCAGCUUCAUGUUAUUCUGAACAGGGAAGUGAAUGAUUGAACUUCUUUUACUCUUUGAAGAGCAAGCAAAAGCCUCAGCACUGCUUAUCAUUUUUUAUUUCCUGACAUAUACUGUAUGAGCUAAAUAAAACCAUAAUCAUAACCUGAAGUGAGGUUAGCCUCACAAAACUGAAAUUCACUUCUUCCAAAAACCAAGGCAAGAGGUCUUGCAGCACAUCUGGAAGGGCAGGAAUCUACCCCCAGGAGAAAUACGUGCAUCUCCUCCCAGAGAUAAGAUCCAAUGAUGAGAUAGAGCUCUUAGGAAAGUAUAAAGAAAAACUGGCUGCUGUAAUACACACUUUGAACCACAAAAUCUAAUAAGUUCUUGAAGGACAGCCAUCCUAAGAUAAAAUUCUUGUUGACCCAGGUCUUGCAGACAGACAAACAUCUCUUGCUAAGCUGGAAUUUAGGAAAGAGCUGCUAUACCAUGAACUGAACAGCAACUUCAGUAGACAGACCACCAAGCAGUAUUUUAAUAGAAUAUUAGUUUCUGUAUAUAUACAUAAAUAUAUCUUACAUAUAUAAUUAUAUAUAUUGUAUGUACAGAGAUCCAAGAAUCUGAGUAUCAAACUACAUAUAAUCUAGUGUGGCUGCCCUCCGAAAAGCUCUGCCAUUUCCCAUAAGUAGAAUCUUGCACUGGAUUUAACCUUAUCCUAUAGCACAUCUUAUUUUCUUACACAGUACGGUCAGUUAUUUAUACAGCCUGCAUAACGCAAAAUUUUUAAAGAUUAUUUUGACUUACAAGUUAAUUAGGCUUCUGCACAAGUGUUUGGAUAAAUUACAGGAGAGAAAUACUAGUGCUUGCUUCACACUGAAUAUGAUUUAAAGUGAUGUGUCAGGAUUUUCUUUUAUUUGCUUUAUGCAAAAUAAUCCACUGUUCCAUGAUUCCUUGUGAUUAGGAUACUAUUUUGCAAGACUAUUGAUGGAUGCCGUUUAGCAAUGAGAAUAAAAUUCUCAAGCCUGCUGUAAUCUACUUAGAUGGUACUAACACCUGAGCCAGUUGUGCACUGAUCAUCUCUGGAGCUUCAUCCAUGGUGAAAGAAUGCCAUUAACUAUACAGAGGAAGUACUGAGGUGCUGCAGAAAGGUGUAGGGUAGGAAGCUUUAGGAAGGACAAGAGAAAAUUUAGGAGACUUAGUCCUGAUGAAAAGUCUCCAGGUUCCACUCUGUUCUCUUCAUAGUUUCACAAUGAAGGGUGCACUGAGCUGGGGGAAGACAUCUGCUGCCAACUGUUAAAAGCUUCAACACCACCACGAGCACUGGCUGCAGCAACCUGUGCAAACCUAAAGCACAAAGAAGACCAGCUAUAUCUACAUAUUUAAACAGAAAUUAUCAGUUUUAAAAUAUAAUGCUGGCAUCUAAUUCAUAGAGUCGUAGAAUUCCAAGGUUGGAAAAGACCUCUGGUCCGACUAUCCACCUACCACCAAUAUAAGCCCACAAAACCAUGUCUUAAUACAUCUAAAUGUUCCUCCAGGGAGAGUGGCUCCACCACCUCACUGGGCAGCCUGUUCCAGCACUUGACUCUCUUUGUGAGAAUAAAUUGUUCCUAAUAUACAACCUGAUGCAACCUGAGGCAAUUACAUCCCAUCCUAUGUUACCUGGGAGAAGAGACCAAGACACCCCUGGCCCCUCCUUUCAGGUGGUUGUGGAGAGUGAUAAGGUUUCACCUGAGCGUCUUCUCUAGACGCUGAACAAUCCCAGAUUCACCAAUAUGCUUUGGAAUUAUCACCAAGAUAAACAGAGAAUGAGGGAUUGGUGCAGGCUGAGAACUAAUUAUCAAAAGAAUCAUAGAAUCAUAGAAUCCUUAGAGUUGAAAAAGACCUUUGAAGGCCAACCCUCCUGCAAUGAUCAGGCACAUGCACAGCCAGAUCAGGUUGACCAUAGCCUUAUCCAGCCUUGCCUUGAAAGUCAGGGCAUCCAUCACAUCUCUGGGCAACCUGUUCCAAUGCCUCCUCACCUUCACUGUAAAUGACAUUUUCCUUAUACGCAACCUACACCUACCCUCUUUAAGCUUGAAGCCAUUUCCCCUUGUUCUAUCACCACAGACUCUGCAAAAGAGUCUGUCCUCUUCUUUCCUGUAGCUCCUCUUUAGAUACUCAAAGGCCACUCUCAGGUCUUCUCCAGGCUGAACAGCCUCAGCUCUCUCAGCCUGUCCUCAUAGGAGAGAUGUUCCAUUCCUGGGAUCAUUUCUAUGAAACCUCUUCUGGAUGCACUCCAACAGGUCCAUGUCUCUGCUGUCCUGAGGACAGCACAUCUGGACACAGUACUCCAGAUACAGCUUUAGAUUUGCUCACAUGAGCUAAAUUAAACCAUUCUUCAAGUUCAGGCACAUUGUAAGAUCCAAGAAAGAGCCAGCAGGAGGAGGGGGAAGAUGCUGACAAUUAAAAAUUCUGUCUGAGCAAAUCACCAUUAAUUAUGCUAUUGAAGGCUUGAAGAUUUAUCGGCAAAACUCUGUAGUGAGAAAUGUCAGUUUUUAAAAAACAACAAGCCCUGUGGUAUGUCUCUGACUCUUCUAAUUUCUUGGAACACUUCAGAUAAAAGACGGAUCUGAUCAAAUUUAUCUAUUUUUCUUUUCAGUGAUCUGACUUACAUUAAAAUA
Tympanuchus pallidicinctus (lesser prairie-chicken) is the source of this 6624-nucleotide long non-coding RNA. RefSeq lists it as uncharacterized. The record is from RefSeq and is a predicted model, not a curated record. The transcript has 3 exons. NCBI's taxonomy places the organism in Eukaryota, Metazoa, Chordata, Aves, Galliformes, Phasianidae.